AAAACGUCAGCUCACCCAGCUCAUGGGGGCUCCCAUCCACAGUGCACCGCCGAGGGUCUGGAGCCCCUUCCCCAUCCUCUCCUGAGCCCAGGAAAUCAAACUCAUUGAUAGCAUCCUCAGAGUCGUCUUCCUCAUCCUCGUCUUCCAUUUCAGGCACCAGAGCCUUGGAUGGGAGCUGGCGCAUGGAGAAAGCCAGACAAGUCAGGGGGCCUCUUGUCCAGAGACUAAGCCACCUCCGUGCCUAGGAACAGCUGCAGUCCUUCAGUGUCGACUGCCUGAAAGCCUCUGGGGAAGCUGACACCUCUCGCCUCACCACCGCUAAAGUCCAUCAGCUCUGUCCCAGACAUCGAGCCAUCUCCUAACUGGUCCGCCUGCCUCCUCUGUGACCCUCCCACACCUCUCCUCAGAGUGGAUCAGAGGCCCUCCCUGCCCACCCCCCACAGAGGAGCACAUACUGGCCCUCGUGGUCUCCAUCGUGCUUAGCAUCACCUACGUGGCCUCACUUGUUCUGCUUAACUGACAAUUGCUGAUGAGAGUGAACAAGCCAGAGAUUCCUGAG
RNAcentral lists this non-coding RNA (559 nucleotides) under Pan troglodytes (chimpanzee). The record is from RNAcentral. Lineage: Eukaryota; Metazoa; Chordata; Mammalia; Primates; Hominidae.